RNAcentral lists this ribosomal RNA (447 nucleotides) under uncultured bacterium. RNAcentral describes it as "bacterial SSU rRNA". It matches the Rfam family "Bacterial small subunit ribosomal RNA", at positions 330 to 794 of the family's 1533-position model. The record is from RNAcentral.
ACCAGACUCCUACGGGAGGCAGCAGUGGGGGAUAUUGCACAAUGGGGGGAACCCUGAUGCAGCGACGCCGCGUGGGUGAAGAAGCGCCUCGGCGCGUAAAGCCCUGUCAGCAGGGAAGAAAAUGACGGUACCUGAAGAAGAAGCCCCGGCUAACUACGUGCCAGCAGCCGCGGUAAUACGUAGGGGGCAAGCGUUAUCCGGAUUUACUGGGUGUAAAGGGGGCGCAGACGGCGAUGCAAGCCAGGAGUGAAAGCCCGGGGCCCAACCCCGGGACUGCUCUUGGAACUGCGUGGCUGGAGUGCAGGAGGGGCAGGCGGAAUUCCUGGUGUAGCGGUGAAAUGCGUAGAUAUCAGGAGGAACACCGGUGGCGAAGGCGGCCUGCUGGACUGCAACUGACGUUGAGGCCCGAAAGCGUGGGGAGCAAACAGGAUUAGAUACCCUGGUAGG